AAAAAAAUAUAAUAUAAAAAAUGGGUGAAAGGGUUGCCAUCGCGUGGGCGAUAUUUUUCUAAGUGCGGGAAUCGAUAGUAGCUUUAAAGUAUGGCAACUCCCCCACCCUAUUUAUUCUAGUGCAUUUAGUUGAAUUGAACGUGUUGAAUUGCAUUUUAACAAAAGAAAUCUACUAAUAAUACUAAUUAUAAUUAGUGGGUAGAAUUACUAGAAUAAAGAAGAAAUUGUCGCAUUGUUUUUAUCGCAUUGUUUUGAUGUUUAUGUAUGUAUGUUAGUAUGUAUAUCAGCAAAAUCAGUUAUGCACAUAUCAGUUAUGCACAUAUAUGCCAUGCUAUAUUUGAAUCAACAAGGAGUGAUUUUUCCACCUACGACGACUUCAUUAGGGCCAUCCGGGAUGGAAUAAGGAGAGCCAAAAAUAAAAAUUAUAAGGAAAAAUAAAAAAAAAACAAAGAAAAUUCCCCGCCAUUACUUGACAAUUUAAAUUAAGCAGAAUGUUUAAAUAUUGUUUACUUUUAUUUUUAAUUUUUAGUUUUAAUUUGUAGUUUCAAUUUUUAGUUUUAAUUUUUAGUUUUAAUUUUAGCAGUGUAUUAAUUAACAGUGUAACUUAUAUUUAAUUUUAAUUUAAUAAAAUAAAAACGAAUAAAAGCAAAAAAAAAAGCAAAAGCAAAAAAAAUUUUUUCUUGAAUAAAAAUUUCCCUUGUCGCCUUUCGGUCACUUUUUCUCGGGCAAGGCUGCGUACGGUGUGCAUCCUGAGUGCAUCUUUUUCUCGUCGCGAGGCGCGCAAGUUUUGAUGCACGUGCUGAAUUUCCCGGCCACGCUAAUGUAAUUUGGAAUGAUGCGUUUCCUAUGUUGGGAGUGCGCGGCGCACGUCAAUGCUGCACGCUUUCAGCAAGAAAGCGUGCACCAGGUCCGACUGGGUUGUCUUUAUGCAAUGCCAGAAGAGGCGAGGCGGGGGCGGGUGCUGAUUGCAGGUUAAUUCUACUCUCACCGAUCCCAUUGUUGUUGUUGGUUUCGGCCAAGCCAGACAUAGACGGCGAGCGAGCAAGCGAGAGGGAUUGAAGAAGAGCGAACAGGAAAAUGAAAAAUAAUUGAAUUGUAAGGCAAUGUUUACAGGAGAGGAAGAGAAUAUCCGGACCAGCAGACAGACGGGUGGACGGAGAGGGGAAUCGCCGCCGCAGACGUUUGCAAUUGGC
RNAcentral lists this small RNA (1193 nucleotides) under Drosophila ananassae. RNAcentral's name for it is "GF26509". The record is from RNAcentral. Lineage: Eukaryota; Metazoa; Arthropoda; Insecta; Diptera; Drosophilidae.